GGGCCUAUGGCCAAAUGGACACGGCGCCUGACUACGAAUCAGGAGAUUCCAGGUUCGACCCCUGGUAGGCUCG
This 73-nucleotide transfer RNA is filed under the name Blyttiomyces helicus. It matches the Rfam family "tRNA". Rfam says of the family: Transfer RNA (tRNA) molecules are approximately 80 nucleotides in length. Their secondary structure includes four short double-helical elements and three loops (D, anti-codon, and T loops). Lineage: Eukaryota; Fungi; Chytridiomycota; Chytridiomycetes. The record is from Rfam by way of RNAcentral.